GGGGUCGUAGUCUAGCCUGGUUAGGACUCCACCUUGGGGUGGUGGGAACCCCAGUUCAAAUCUGGGCGACCUCA
This is a transfer RNA of 74 nucleotides. It matches the Rfam family "tRNA". Rfam says of the family: Transfer RNA (tRNA) molecules are approximately 80 nucleotides in length. Their secondary structure includes four short double-helical elements and three loops (D, anti-codon, and T loops).